This 373-nucleotide unclassified non-coding RNA is filed under the name uncultured Sphingobacteriales bacterium. RNAcentral describes it as "contains 16S-23S intergenic spacer region". Lineage: Bacteria; Pseudomonadati; Bacteroidota; Sphingobacteriia; Sphingobacteriales. The record is from RNAcentral.
UCGCCGCUUGCGCGGGCAGUCUUAUUAGAGUUCCCAGCAUUACCUGAUGGCAACUAAUAACAGGGGUUGCGCUCGUUACGGGACUUAACCCAACACCUCACGGCACGAGCUGACGACAGCCAUGCAGCACCUAGUUUCGUGUCCUUGCGGAAAGACCUCUUUCAAGGUCGGUCACUAACUUUCAAGCCCGGGUAAGGUUCCUCGCGUAUCAUCGAAUUAAACCACAUGCUCCUCCGCUUGUGCGGGCCCCCGUCAAUUCCUUUGAGUUUCAAUCUUGCGACCGUACUUCCCAGGUGGAUAACUUAAUGCUUUCGCUUAGUCGCGUACUGUAUAUCGCACACAACGAGUUAUCAACGUUUAGGGCGUGGACUAC